CCUACGGGAGGCAGCAGUGGGGAAUAUUGCACAAUGGGCGACAGCCUGAUGCAGCAACGCCGCGUGAGCGAUGAAGGCCUUCGGGUCGUAAAGCUCUGUCCUCAAGGAAGAUAAUGACGGUACUUGAGGAGGAAGCCCCGGCUAACUACGUGCCAGCAGCAGCGGUAAUACGUAGGGGGCUAGCGUUAUCCGGAAUUACUGGGCGUAAAGGGUGCGUAGGUGGUUUCUUAAGUCAGAGGUGAAAGGCUAGGGCUCAACCGUAGUAAGCCUUUGAAAAUGGGAAACUUGAGUGCAGGAGAGGAGAGUGGACUUCCUAGUGUAGCGGUGAAAUGCGUAGAUAUUAGGAGGAACACCAGUUGCGAAGGCGGCUCUCUGGACUGUAACUGACACUGAGGCACGAAAGCGUGGGGAGCAAACAGGAUUAGAUACCCUUGUAGUC
Molecule: ribosomal RNA, 439 nt
Filed under: uncultured bacterium
Lineage: Bacteria
Description: partial 16S ribosomal RNA
Rfam family: Bacterial small subunit ribosomal RNA
Source: RNAcentral